AAGUAUGAGAUGAAGGAGAGGUGGGAAGGAUGGGGUUUGCGGGGAUGUGCGGGUAUAACCACGCCCUAAUUGGACGGAGAUGGGGCGGGUCUCCUACUUGACCCGUGUCACGACCAUCCCUAGACUUAAAGGUUUAGUUAACGGAAAACCUUUGCAUAUCCUUAUUGAUUCAGGAAGUACCCAUAACUUCCUAGAUACUUUUGUUGCCAAGAAAUUUUGUGAGUGAUAUAGAUCCAUAGGCAGUUUAUGUUGUUGAGGGCAAUCAUAUAGCUACUCAUAUUCGUAAGGGUUUUAAAGGAGUUUACUCUGCUAGAAUUUUUAAUUUUUUUUUUUUUUUUACAGUUUUUCAUAACUUGAAAUUUCUAAACUUUUAAUUUUCCCAUAAAUCUUUUAGAAUUUUUUUUGAAAUAAGUUGACUUGAACAAUACCUCGAGCAAUUUGUUUAGUAGAAAGAAUUUGGUAGGAAAUGAAUUGGAAGAAAAGAUUUUAGUUUCCAAUGUUUGGUUUAAAAAUAAUAUUAGAAGUGAUAGAAAUGGAAGGAAAGCCUCACUAGUAGAAUAGUUGCUUAUUUCUGCGGUGGUAUUGCUGCAGUUUUACCCAUAUGCAGCGAUAAAUCACGUGAAAAGAAAACGUAAAAUAUGAAAUAGCCCUAUUGUUGUAGUUUCCAGCCUAAAUCACAGCAAUAGGUCUCAACGGAAAAAAAUUUCCAAUUUGGUUGAUUGUUUGAAAAGAUCUAUGGCUGCGGUUCCCAGCCAAAACCGCAGCAAUAAACUCUAUAAUUAAUAAAAGAACUCGGCUAGGGUGUUUAUAAGGUGAGAGAAAGAUGAGUACGCCUCAUUCGGGAUCUCUCACUCGUUCUUUAGUUCCUUCUCUCUCACUCUCAUUCUUCCUCACGCCUCCUCAUCCUCUCUCUCACUCUCAUUCUUCCUCCCUCUCUCAUUCUCCGGCGCCAUUAAAGCCAAACCUCCCUCCCUCCAUUAAAAUGUCUAUAGAAUUCGAUUCUUUCGCUCUCUCCUCCUCAAGUUUACUCCUCCGUUCCUUUUCGACUUACUCCUUCGUCGUUGCUCUUCGUUCAAAUAGCGCCGAUGCACCGACUCCACAGUUCUGCACGCCACUCGACUCCACAGCACCGUCGCACCACUCGACUCCACCAAUAAGCUGCACCUUCAGCAUCACCUUCAACCUUCGCUGAAAUCGGCGAUUUUUUUCGCGCUCAACCACCGCCAGCACCUUCGCUAACUUCAUACUCGCCUCUCUCAAGCGCCAGUUCUUUGUUACCUUCAAAACCAACGUAUUUGACGAGAUCUGCUGGUUGUGAUAUUAUUAUUGGUGGUGCUCUUAAGUCAGAUGGAAGCUUCAGCGAUCUUGUGCGAUUUUGAGUCUUCAUUUUUUCUUUUUUUUUUUUUUUCUUUCUAGUUAGAUUUUAUUUUUAUUUAUCAAAUCUAAUGGUUAGGUAGUGAUAUUUUAGUUUUAUAGUUUUGUUUUGAAUUAUAUUCAUUUUUUUUUGUAAGAAUCAAUAUGAUGUUAGGCUUUCUGAUUUUUUUUUUCCAGAUUUAUCUUUUGCUUUUUUUAAUAUAUAUGUUGAUUUUUUGCAUCUU
Long non-coding RNA from Beta vulgaris subsp. vulgaris (sugar beet), 1598 nucleotides. RefSeq lists it as uncharacterized. The transcript is spliced from 2 exons. Lineage: Eukaryota; Viridiplantae; Streptophyta; Magnoliopsida; Caryophyllales; Amaranthaceae. The record is from RefSeq and is a predicted model, not a curated record.